This 72-nucleotide transfer RNA is filed under the name Haloactinospora alba. It matches the Rfam family "tRNA". From Rfam's summary of the family: Transfer RNA (tRNA) molecules are approximately 80 nucleotides in length. Their secondary structure includes four short double-helical elements and three loops (D, anti-codon, and T loops). Further hydrogen bonds mediate the characteristic L-shaped molecular structure. tRNAs have two regions of fundamental functional importance: the anti-codon, which is responsible for specific mRNA codon recognition, and the 3' end, to which the tRNAs corresponding amino acid is attached (by aminoacyl-tRNA synthetases). tRNAs cope with the degeneracy of the genetic code in two manners: having more than one tRNA (with a specific anti-codon) for a particular amino acid; and 'wobble' base-pairing, i.e. permitting non-standard base-pairing at the 3rd anti-codon position. The record is from Rfam by way of RNAcentral. Lineage: Bacteria; Bacillati; Actinomycetota; Actinomycetes; Streptosporangiales; Nocardiopsidaceae.
UCCCGCGUAGCUCAAGGGCAGAGCAGUCGGCUGUUAACCGACAGGCUACUGGUUCGAAUCCAGUCGCGGGAG